RNAcentral lists this long non-coding RNA (346 nucleotides) under Elaeis guineensis (African oil palm). RNAcentral describes it as "long non-coding RNA (EGUI_LNC033954)". Lineage: Eukaryota; Viridiplantae; Streptophyta; Magnoliopsida; Arecales; Arecaceae. The record is from RNAcentral.
GGGAGGCUAGGAUGGACCCGAUGGUCAUGUCAAGGCAAGUUGCUGGUAGAGUUUGGGUCUUCACUACACCCCACUAUAGCCACCAUACUAUUGGAUUUUAGCCAUGUAGUGGAAAGUAAUUUUUAAAAUAUUUUAAAACACUCAAAUCAAUAGUUUUAUCAAAUAAAACUAUCAAGCCGAAUCCAAAAUCCUAGAAUCACCUUGCCAAACACGAUCAAAGCAAAUUUAAGCAUGCAAAGAGAUAGAAUAUUAUACUUUAACUAAAAUAAAAAAGUGGCAUAUUGGUGUUGUCCACAAGACCCCAAGGUAGAAGUCCUCCAAUGGAGAUCUACAUGAAAGUUGGCCA